Molecule: long non-coding RNA, 1641 nt
Organism: Mus pahari (shrew mouse)
Lineage: Eukaryota; Metazoa; Chordata; Mammalia; Rodentia; Muridae
Exons: 3
Source: RefSeq, a predicted model, not a curated record
GCGAGACUGGGCAGCGAUGGAUAUGGAGCACGGCUGCGUCAGAGGGCCCAAAGGAGCAUGUCAUUGCCCAGUAGAGAAGGUUCUCCUCCGCCCCUGGAGGCUCGGGCCACUAUCAGAUCCACUUCACCCGGUCCCCGCCUGCUAGGACAGUACCGCUGCCACUCAGCCCGCAGGCCUAACCCACAGAAUGGAGCCGCAGCUCUUCUAGGUGUCCCCGCACGCCCACUUCUGUUCCACACACACGCUGACCGAUCCCACAAUCACCCUGACUCUGAGCAAUAAGCUAUCCGAGAUGAAGACAGAUUCAUUUUCUAAGCUGUCCCCUUGAAAGACUUCCAUGAUCAGUGCUGCCGCUGGAGGCCAUGUUGGUGUUCGUAGUCCUUGGAGCCUCUGAAUCCGCCUCGGCGUCUGAUUGACGAUGCCAGCCAGAGACCAUGUUGCUGUCCAUCAUUCCCGGUGCCACAAGCUACUGUGGACAGGGAAGAUUCUGUUACAGUAGUGUCGAAAAAUGGAUAGAACUGAAGACCAUCAUGUUAAGAGAAAUAAGCCAGACUUAGAAAGGCAGACGUCUCAACUUUCCACAUAAGAAGAAUCUGUGUGUGUGCUUGGAGGUGUUGACUAUAGAAGAGAGGCCAAAGUGAAUGGAGGAAAAGGGGAAAAUGCAAGCUAUGAGUCUCCCAAUUUUGGGGGAAAUGCAGUGGUCAGCACAUCCGGAUACCGUGAUGAGCCUCACCUGAGAACCCCACCUUCAUGACCAUGGCCGCUCCCUCGCCGGGUGAUCAUCUGCGCAUGGAUUUCUCUUCUACGUUAAGUAGGUGUAGGUAUCAUAGGUGUUUGGUUUUAGAGAGUUCUUUAAAUGUAUUUUUGUUUUACAAGUAUGAGCAUUUGCCUGCACGAUCUAUACCACUUACCUAAUACCUUUGGAGGCCAGAAGAGGGUGUCAGAUCCCUUGAAACUAGAGUCACAGACAACAGUGAGCAAUCAAGUGGAUAUUGGGAAUCAAACCCAGGUCCUCUGGAAGAGCAGCCACCGAGCCAUCUCUGUGGCCCCUGGAGUCAUGUUGUCGUUCAACCACAUUUAUCUGUUUAUUGAUUUACUGUGUGCAUAUGUGCAUGUGUAUGUGUGUGGGGAUGUCGCAGGGCAUGUGUAGAGGUCAGAGGGCAGACGACCUGCACCCGUAAGAAUCUUUUUUCUCCUUCCACUAUUCCCAGGCAGGUUUGACAGCAGACAUCUUAACCCACUGAAGGUAAGAUCUUCAUCUCACCAGGUCCCAUAGUUAAUUGUUAGAAGCAGGAAAAAAAAAAGUGUUAUUGCUAUUUGAAAACACAGAGGAAAGCAUGGGAUUUACAGACACUUCGACAAAAUAUCUGAGUUAUUUCUAGCAAUGCCACAGUGGACUAGCAGAGUGCAAGAUAAAUCCCCUAAAAGCAUGUAAAAAUAAUAGCCACAUCACAUAGUCUCUUCAAAAAUACAAGGAAAAGAGACCCCAUUCACAGCAUCGUGGAAGAAGUGCAUGCUACCUCUAGAAAUACAGAGAAAUAUAGAAAGUACUAUGGCUGGUGAGAGUUGGACCCCAUGUGGAUUUGAAUCUGUUUAAUGAUGAAAAAUGAGAACUAUAUUGAGUUUGGCGUACUUUCAAAA